ACCCGAGCAUAAAAAUCAAGCCAAAGAAUCCAAAAAUAAUAUGUUAGUUCAUAACUAUGAGCUAUUUAAUAUGAAACCUGAUGAAUCUAUUAUUGAAAUAUUUAUUAAGUUCAUUGACAUAAUUAAUGCACUUCAAGCACUCAAUAAUCCUAUACUAACAAUAAAUUGGAAAGAAAUAUUCACAUAUCUCUACUAAGAUCAUGGGAGGCCAGAUGAUGAGCAUCCAGGAGGCAAAGAUUUGAACAAACUUCUAUUGAAAGAGCUCCUGAGUUUUCUUAUGAUCUAUGAGCUGACCUUGAGAAUUUCCCUAUCCCCA
RNAcentral lists this long non-coding RNA (316 nucleotides) under Elaeis guineensis (African oil palm). RNAcentral describes it as "long non-coding RNA (EGUI_LNC064003)". Lineage: Eukaryota; Viridiplantae; Streptophyta; Magnoliopsida; Arecales; Arecaceae. The record is from RNAcentral.